Molecule: long non-coding RNA, 427 nt
Organism: Cyprinodon variegatus (sheepshead minnow)
Lineage: Eukaryota; Metazoa; Chordata; Actinopteri; Cyprinodontiformes; Cyprinodontidae
Exons: 5
Source: RefSeq, a predicted model, not a curated record
UGUAAAGGUAUAAAAGAGAACUUCAACAUCCAGAAAGCAACAUUACAGCCUCUUCACUUGUCUCUAAAGAAGCCAACUGAAGGUCAGAUCACUGUAACCAUGCUGAAGGUAGCACUUGUUCUCGGAUGCCUCCUGAGCCUCAUUGUGGCCGAACCUAUGGAGCACCAGCGUUUUGCCCGCUCUGACUCAUCUGAUUCUGAUUCAGAUGAGACCACCACGACCACAACCACAGCAGCAGGCGCUACAACUGCUGCACCUAACCUGAAUGCACUCAUUCUUCAACUACUUCAACAAUUACUUAACCUGUAAUCAUCAUAAUCAAGACCUGCUGUUAACCAGAAUACUUCUGUUCAUCAUUAAUUGGACAAAUAUGAUUGAGAAGUAUCUGUACACUUAACAAUAAAAACCCUUAUUGUGCAAACUCUUC